UGCUGCUGUGGGACCCUCUCCAAUUACUUGAACCUCGCCUUUUACUAGAUUCAACCGGGUUGGUCCCACACUUAUAGCAGCAUGACCGACUUUUUCCCGCUGGUUACCUAAUGGGUAACA
This 120-nucleotide small nuclear RNA is filed under the name Malassezia globosa CBS 7966. RNAcentral's name for it is "U5 spliceosomal RNA". It matches the Rfam family "U5 spliceosomal RNA". Rfam says of the family: U5 RNA is a component of both types of known spliceosome. The precise function of this molecule is unknown, though it is known that the 5' loop is required for splice site selection and p220 binding, and that both the 3' stem-loop and the Sm site are important for Sm protein binding and cap methylation. The record is from Rfam by way of RNAcentral. Lineage: Eukaryota; Fungi; Basidiomycota; Malasseziomycetes; Malasseziales; Malasseziaceae.